GCUUGCUCCUUUGACGUUAGCGGCGGACGGGUGAGUANCACGUGGAUAACCUACCUAUAAGACUGGGAUAACUUCGGGAAACCGGAGCUAAUACCCGGAUAACAUAUUGAACCGCAUGGUUCAAUAGUGAAAGGCGGCUUUGCUGUCACUUAUAGAUGGAUCCGCGCCGUAUUAGCUAGUUGGUAAGGUAACGGCUUACCAAGGCAACGAUACGUAGCCGACCUGAGAGGGUGAUCGGCCACACUGGAACUGAGACACGGUCCAGACUCCUACGGGAGGCAGCAGUAGGGAAUCUUCCGCAAUGGGCGAAAGCCUGACGGAGCAACGCCGCGUGAGUGAUGAAGGUCUUCGGAUCGUAAAACUCUGUUAUCAGGGAAGAACAAAUGUGUAAGUAACUGUGCACAUCUUGACGGUACCUGAUCAGAAAGCCACGGCUAACUACGUGCCAGCAGCCGCGGUAAUACGUAGGUGGCAAGCGUUAUCCGGAAUUAUUGGGCGUAAAGCGCGCGUAGGCGGUUUUUUAAGUCUGAUGUGAAAGCCCACGGCUCAACCGUGGAGGGUCAUUGGAAACUGGAAAACUUGAGUGCAGAAGAGGAAAGUGGAAUUCCAUGUGUAGCGGUGAAAUGCGCAGAGAUAUGGAGGAACACCAGUGGCGAAGGCGACUUUCUGGUCUGUAACUGACGCUGAUGUGCGAAAGCGUGGGGAUCAAACAGGAUUAGAUACCCCUGGUAGUCCACGCCGUAAACGAUGAGUGCUAAGUGUUAGGGGGUUUCCGCCCCUUAGUGCUGCAGCUAACGCAUUAAGCACUCCGCCUGGGGAGUACGACCGCAAGGUUGAAACUCAAAGGAAUUGACGGGGACCCGCACAAGCGGUGGAGCAUGUGGUUUAAUUCGAAGCAACGCGAAGAACCUUACCAAAUCUUGACAUCCUUUGACCNCUCUAGAGAUAGAGUUUUCCCCUUCGGGGGACAAAGUGACAGGUGGUGCAUGGUUGUCGUCAGCUCGUGUCGUGAGAUGUUGGGUUAAGUCCCGCAACGAGCGCAACCCUUAAGCUUAGUUGCCAUCAUUAAGUUGGGCACUCUAAGUUGACUGCCGGUGACAAACCGGAGGAAGGUGGGGAUGACGUCAAAUCAUCAUGCCCCUUAUGAUUUGGGCUACACACGUGCUACAAUGGACAAUACAAAGGGCAGCUAAACCGCGAGGUCAAGCAAAUCCCAUAAAGUUGUUCUCAGUUCGGAUUGUAGUCUGCAACUCGACUACAUGAAGCUGGAAUCGCUAGUAAUUCGUAGAUCAGCAUGCUACGGGAUA
RNAcentral lists this ribosomal RNA (1307 nucleotides) under Staphylococcus pasteuri. RNAcentral describes it as "bacterial SSU rRNA". It matches the Rfam family "Bacterial small subunit ribosomal RNA", at positions 78 to 1366 of the family's 1533-position model. Lineage: Bacteria; Bacillati; Bacillota; Bacilli; Caryophanales; Staphylococcaceae. The record is from RNAcentral.